GAUAGAACGCAGCGAAAUGCGAUACUUGGUGUGAAUUGCAGAAUCCCGUGAACCAUCGAGUCUUUGAACGCAAGUUGCGCCCGAAGCCAUUAGGCCGAGGGCACGCCUGCCUGGGCGUCACACGUCGUUGCCCCCCCAUCUACUCCUUCGGGAUUGCGGGGGGCGGAUGAUGGCCUCCCGUGCGCCUCGUCGCGCGGUUGGCAUAAAUGCCAAGUCCUCGGCGACGCACGCCACGACAAUCGGUGGUUGCGAAACCUCGGUUGCCCGUCGUGUGCGGUCGUCGCGCAUCGAGGGCUCGAAAAAAUUGCCGGGCUCCGGCUCGGCUUUCAACGCGACCCCAGGUCAGGCGGGGUUACCCGCUGAAUUUAAGCAUAUCAAUAAGCGGAGGA
RNAcentral lists this unclassified non-coding RNA (389 nucleotides) under soil metagenome. Its description in RNAcentral is "partial contains 5.8S ribosomal RNA, internal transcribed spacer 2, and large subunit ribosomal RNA". The stretch from base 4 to 120 matches the Rfam family "5.8S ribosomal RNA", at positions 40 to 154 of the family's 154-position model. The record is from RNAcentral.